GUGGGGAAUAUUGGACAAUGGGCGAAAGCCUGAUCCAGCCAUGCCGCGUGUGUGAAGAAGGUCUUCGGAUUGUAAAGCACUUUAAGUUGGGAGGAAGGGCAGUAAGUUAAUACCUUGCUGUUUUGACGUUACAGACAGAAUAAGCACCGGCUAACUUCGUGCCAGCAGCCGCGGUAAUAUGAAGGGUGCAAGCGUUAAUCGGAAUUACUGGGCGUAAAGCGCGCGUAGGUGGUUUUGUAAGUUGGAGGUGAAAUCCCCGGGCUCAACCUGGGAACUGCCUCUAAGACUGCAUGACUAGAGUACGGUAGAGGGUAGUGGAAUUUCCUGUGUAGCGGUGAAAUGCGUAGAUAUAGGAAGGAACACCAGUGGCGAAGGCGACUACCUGGACUGAUACUGACACUGAGGUGCGAAAGCGUGGGGAGCAAACAGGAUUAGAAACCCGUGUAGUCC
RNAcentral lists this ribosomal RNA (450 nucleotides) under uncultured bacterium. RNAcentral describes it as "bacterial SSU rRNA". It matches the Rfam family "Bacterial small subunit ribosomal RNA", at positions 354 to 796 of the family's 1533-position model. The record is from RNAcentral.